GGCUGAACGUGACGAGAAGCUGUUCAGCCGUUUUAGUGUCGCCAGUUUUGCGCUUUUCUACGAGAAACGAUUCGGGUGAAUUUUUGGGGAGAUAAGCUUGUAAACCAUGGAUGCAGAUCAUCUUUAAAAUCGGGAAACUGAAUGCGUUAGAAAAAAACGGGGUGUGUGUAUUUUUGUGGCUGCGUGCUACACUUUACGUCGUGCCAACGUCGGCCUAGGCUGAAUGUUUACGUCGCCAUACGUCGUCUAAAUGUCGUCACCUACAUACAGGACGGGACCUCUGUGGAGUUUAAUGACGUUAAUUAAAGUCAACCUGCUUUUGGUCUAUAAAGUGGUAAAGGCUGAUGAAUUGGCUGGAUUGAAGCCCAACUCAGUGUGCAAAUAGAACCAAACAGCCACUGAACACUGAGUUUAAUUAAAUCAGUAGUAAAACUAACUAAUAAUUGUGUAAUACUGUCUAGAUUUAAUCUCGUGUGCAUUUAUUCACACGACACAUGUGAAAGACAAAUCUCAGACGAUUCCCAUUUAGUUCACUGACCCUCAGUUUGUUAAUCCAAUAGAUUAUGACUAAUUUAAAAGUUAAAAUAGUUAUUAAGAAUAUAAAACUCUUGAGUUUCUUAUAGAACUGCGCUGGACCUCAAGUGACAGGUGUGAGCAAUCCAGUCCCCCCAAAAAAUAGAUGAACCAGAUUACCAGUGUCCUUCAGUGUCUCCCCAGUCACAGGAUCUGAAUCUAAUAAAACACCUUUGGGAUGUAGCACAACAGCUCUGAUUCAGGUGCUCACAUGUGUGGAACAGUUGAAGAGUCAGGUAUCUGACCUGAACCGGAAGGUUGACGUGCUGCUCCGGCAGAACAGCUCUCUGCUGAGUGAUGAUGAUGAUGAUGUGGAAGAUGUCCAGGCUGGUUUGCCACUGUGGACGUUCGAGGACGUGGAAGUGCUGGAGCAGAAACUGCAAGAUGAGAUGUAUAACAAGCUACUGGUUACAACAGCUGAUGUGCUGUCUGCUUCAGUGCAGGAGGUCCAGCUCUCAUCUGUAGUAAGUAACUUGCUUUUCUGUAACUUGCCUUCAAAAUAAAAGUCUAAAAACUUUGCCAGAGCCAGUUUAAGGGGAGCCUGCCCUGCUGGAAAAAGAUCAACAGAACCAUUAGGAUUAAACCUGAGUUUUUUUUUUUUUGUUUGUUUUUUUUUUGUUGCUUUCUAAUGGGAACUGGCUUAAUGGUUACAAUUUGACACCUCUAGUUCCCUGUAGGACACAUUUUGACCCCUUCACAUGUAUCUGUAGUCAGUCCCAGAAC
Long non-coding RNA from Pygocentrus nattereri (red-bellied piranha), 1296 nucleotides. Lineage: Eukaryota; Metazoa; Chordata; Actinopteri; Characiformes; Serrasalmidae. The record is from Ensembl.